AGUGCCAGAUCAGGGAGCUGUCGGCUCAGCGCCCACGCCCCUCCGCUUCAGCUCCGGGGAGCCCCAGGGUGGGCUGCUGGAAGGCGCGACUGCAACUUGAUUUUGCCUCACUGUUGUUGCUGGCAGAAUACGUACACCAAUGCGGACAAGCUCCUAGAAGCAGCAGAGCAGUUGGCUCAGACGGGGGAAUGUGACCCCGAGGAGAUCUACAAGGCAGCUCGACACCUGGAGGUGCGCAUCCAAGACUUCGUGCGCAGGGUGGAGCAGCGGAAGCUUCUCCUGGACAUGUCUGUUUCCUUCCACACACACACCAAAGAGUUGUGGACAUGGAUGGAAGACCUUCAGAAGGAGAUGUUGGAGGAUGUCUGUGCAGAUUCUGUGGAUGCAGUCCAGGAACUGAUCAAGCAGUUCCAGCAGCAGCAGACCGCCACUCUAGAUGCCACACUCAAUGUCAUCAAGGAAGGCGAAGACCUUAUCCAGCAGCUCAGGGACUCGGCUGUGUCCAACAACAAAACACCCCACAGCAGCUCCAUCAGCCACAUCGAGUCGGUCCUGCAGCAGCUUGAUGAUGCCCAGGUGCAGAUGGAGGAGCUGUUCCACGAGCGGAAGAUCAAGCUGGACAUCUUCCUGCAACUGCGCAUCUUUGAGCAGUACACCAUCGAGGUGACAGCAGAGCUAGACGCCUGGAAUGAAGACUUGCUUCGGCAGAUGAAUGACUUCAACACAGAGGACCUAACCCUGGCAGAACAGCGGCUGCAGCGCCACACAGAACGGAAGCUAGCCAUGAACAACAUGACCUUUGAGGUUAUCCAGCAGGGACAGGAUCUGCACCAGUACAUCAUGGAGGUCCAGGCAUCAGGAAUUGAGUUGAUCUGUGAAAAAGACAUUGAUCUGGCAGCCCAGGUGCAAGAGUUAUUGGAAUUUCUCCAUGAGAAGCAGC
This 940-nucleotide small RNA is filed under the name Pan troglodytes (chimpanzee). RNAcentral's name for it is "retained intron". The record is from RNAcentral. Lineage: Eukaryota; Metazoa; Chordata; Mammalia; Primates; Hominidae.